ACAGACACAUACACACACUCACACACACUGCGCGCGCGCACACACAAACACACACACCGCUGCGGACGCAUCUCUCCCCCCUUUUCCUUUCGCCGGGCUCACAUGAUUGGCGUAGCGUGUAGUGUGCUGUAUGUAAAUAUGUUGCAUGUGUGGCGCAUGUCGCACCUCCUUCACCUGGGUUCCCGCGCCCUCCUUCCCCACGCCUUUUAUGGACUUCUCUCGGCUCCGCUGUCGGUCGCCGCUUCGCUGUUGUCACCCGUAUCGCGCCUCUGCUCGUCGCCGUCUCGUUGACCAUCUCUACUCGGCGUUUCUUCUUUGUUGUGUGCGCGGCUUGCGUCCCUCCUGUGGGCUCUUUCAGUAAACCGGCUCGCAUACGCCGCACACACGCACACAUGUGCGUGCACGCGAGCAGCUGUCGCAGCCCGCGCCCUUUCUACUGCUCCGCGUGCGCCCUUUGACCUUUCCCCCUCUCCUUCUUCUCCCUCUCUGCCUUUGGUGAGUCGCGCGGAGCUGCCUCUCCAUGGGCGUCAUGGAG
This 535-nucleotide unclassified non-coding RNA is filed under the name Leishmania donovani. Its description in RNAcentral is "gene:unknown". The record is from RNAcentral. Lineage: Eukaryota; Euglenozoa; Kinetoplastea; Trypanosomatida; Trypanosomatidae.